RNAcentral lists this ribosomal RNA (442 nucleotides) under uncultured bacterium. RNAcentral's name for it is "partial 16S ribosomal RNA". It matches the Rfam family "Bacterial small subunit ribosomal RNA", at positions 338 to 795 of the family's 1533-position model. The record is from RNAcentral.
CCUACGGGUGGCAGCAGUAGGGAAUCUUUCACAAUGGGCGAAAGCCUGAUGGAGCAACGCCGCGUGCAGGAUGAAGGCCUUCGGGUUGUACACUGCUUUUAUAAGCGAGAAAUAUGAUGGUAACUUAUGAAUAAGGAUCGGCUAACUACGUGCCAGCAGCCGCGGUCAUACGUAGGAUCCGAGCAUUAUCCGGAGUGACUGGGUGUAAAGAGUUGCGUAGGUGGCAUAAUAAGUAGCUAGUGAAAUCUGGUGGCUCAACCAUUCAGACUAUUAGCUAAACUGUUAAGCUCGAGACCGUUAGGGGUAACUGGAAUUUCGAGUGUAGGAGUGAAAUCCGUAGAGAUUAGAAGGAACACCAAUAGCGUAGGCAGGUUGCUGGGACGGUUCUGACACUAAGGCACGAAAGCGUAGGGAGCAAACGGGAUUAGAUACCCCAGUAGUC